Molecule: ribosomal RNA, 540 nt
Filed under: Triticum aestivum (bread wheat)
Lineage: Eukaryota; Viridiplantae; Streptophyta; Magnoliopsida; Poales; Poaceae
Description: partial small subunit ribosomal RNA
Source: RNAcentral
AUGACCCUUCUGUGGGAGAUUAAGCUCCCGUUAAAGAUUCGUAUCUUUCUAUGGCAAUGGGUGCGGGGCUGUCUACCCUCAGGUACGGAAGUUAGAAAGAGGAAUGGCCCUGGGGAUGGACUAUGCCCCCUAUGUAACGUACCUGAAGAUUCCAACCAUAUUUUCUUUCGAUGCCCGAUGGCAGUCUUCCUCUGGAGCUGCAUCAGGGGGGUGAUUGGCGGAGAUUGGAACCAUGACAAGCUCCCCGAUCUGUUCCAGGCGGUCCUAAGCCGAGAGGCCAGGACGCGCCCUAGUCUGUGGGUAGUCUUGGGGAUGAUGGCGUGGACAUUAUGGACUGCUCGCAAUAAGCUCGUGAUUGAGCAUGUGAUUCCAUCUCGUGCGACUGACUCUAUCUACAAACUAUGUGGUUUCUUACAGCUAUGGAGACCGCUCAGCAAGCGACGUGAUCGGGACUCCAUCGACAGGAUCAUCUCGGCUCUAUGUACCACCGCCGGAGCCUUGGCGCCACCGCUCCCUCCACCACCACCUGAGCCGGAUUAG